Molecule: unclassified non-coding RNA, 343 nt
Filed under: soil metagenome
Description: partial contains 5.8S ribosomal RNA, internal transcribed spacer 2, and large subunit ribosomal RNA
Rfam family: 5.8S ribosomal RNA (bases 1-120)
Source: RNAcentral
GAUGAAGAACGCAGCGAAAUGCGAUAAGUAAUGUGAAUUGCAGAAUUCAGUGAAUCAUCGAAUCUUUGAACGCACACUGCGCCCGCUAGUAUUCUGGCGGGCAUGCCUGUCCGAGCGUCAUUUCAACCCUCAAGCCCCCGGGCUUGGUGUUGGGGAUCGGCGAGCCUCCGCGCCCGCCGUCCCCUAAAUCUAGUGGCGGUCUCGCUGUAGCUUCCUCUGCGUAGUAGCACACCUCGCACUGGGAAACAGCGCGGCCACGCCGUUAAACCCCCAACUUCUGAACGUUUGACCUCGGAUCAGGUAGGAAUACCCGCUGAACUUAAGCAUAUCAAUAAGCGGAGGA